RNAcentral lists this ribosomal RNA (1287 nucleotides) under metagenome. RNAcentral describes it as "bacterial SSU rRNA". It matches the Rfam family "Bacterial small subunit ribosomal RNA", at positions 242 to 1520 of the family's 1533-position model. The record is from RNAcentral.
UAGCUAGUUGGUGAGGUAAAGGCUUACCAAGGCGACGAUCUGUAGCGGGUCUGAGAGGAUGAUCCGCCACACUGGAACUGAGACACGGUCCAGACUCCUACGGGAGGCAGCAGUGGGGAAUUUUGGACAAUGGGGGUAACCCUGAUCCAGCCAUGCCGCGUGAGUGAAGAAGGCCUUCGGGUUGUAAAGCUCUUUCGGCCGGGAAGAAAUCGCAUGGGCCAAUACCCUGUGUGGAUGACGGUACCGGAAUAAGAAGCACCGGCUAACUACGUGCCAGCAGCCGCGGUAAUACGUAGGGUGCGAGCGUUAAUCGGAAUUACUGGGCGUAAAGCGUGCGCAGGCGGUUUUGUAAGACAGGCGUGAAAUCCCCGGGCUUAACCUGGGAACUGCGUUUGUGACUGCAAGGCUAGAGUACGGCAGAGGGGGGUGGAAUUCCACGUGUAGCAGUGAAAUGCGUAGAGAUGUGGAGGAACACCAAUGGCGAAGGCAGCCCCCUGGGUCGAUACUGACGCUCAUGCACGAAAGCGUGGGUAGCAAACAGGAUUAGAUACCCUGGUAGUCCACGCCCUAAACUAUGUCAACUAGGUGUUGGGUGGGUAAAACCAUUUAGUACCGUAGCUAACGCGUGAAGUUGACCGCCUGGGGAGUACGGCCGCAAGGUUAAAACUCAAAGGAAUUGACGGGGACCCGCACAAGCGGUGGAUGAUGUGGAUUAAUUCGAUGCAACGCGAAAAACCUUACCUACCCUUGACAUGCCAGGAACUUGCCAGAGAUGGCUUGGUGCCCGAAAGGGAGCCUGGACACAGGUGCUGCAUGGCUGUCGUCAGCUCGUGUCGUGAGAUGUUGGGUUAAGUCCCGCAACGAGCGCAACCCUUGUCGUUAAUUGCCAUCAUUUAGUUGGGCACUUUAACGAGACUGCCGGUGACAAACCGGAGGAAGGUGGGGAUGACAUCAAGUCCUCAUGGCCCUUAUGGGUAGGGCUUCACACGUCAUACAAUGGUCGGUACAAAGGGUUGCCAAGCCGCGAGGCGGAGCCAAUCCCAGAAAGCCGAUCGUAGUCCGGAUUGCAGGCUGCAACUCGCCCGCAUGAAGUCGGAAUCGCUAGUAAUCGUGGAUCAGCAUGUCACGGUGAAUACGUUCCCGGGUCUUGUACACACCGCCCGUCACACCAUGGGAGCGGGUUCCGCCAGAAGUAGGUAGCCUAACCGCAAGGGGGGCGCUUACCACGGCGGGGUUCGUGACUGGGGUGAAGUCGGAACAAGGUAGCCGUAGGGGAACCUGCGGCUG